AGCGCAGGUGGUUUCUUAAGUCUGAUGUGAAAGCCCACGGCUCAACCGUGGAAGGUCAUUGGAAACUGGGGAACUUGAAUGCAGAAGAGGAGAGUGGAAUUCCAUGUGUAGCGGUGAAAUGCGUAGAUAUAUGGAGGAACACCAGUGGCGAAGGCGACUCUCUGGUCUGUUAUUGACACUGAGGCUCGAAAGCGUGGGAGCAAACA
RNAcentral lists this ribosomal RNA (206 nucleotides) under uncultured Lactobacillales bacterium. Its description in RNAcentral is "partial 16S ribosomal RNA". It matches the Rfam family "Bacterial small subunit ribosomal RNA", at positions 568 to 774 of the family's 1533-position model. Lineage: Bacteria; Bacillati; Bacillota; Bacilli; Lactobacillales. The record is from RNAcentral.